This 175-nucleotide RNase P RNA is filed under the name Lachnospiraceae bacterium. RNAcentral's name for it is "partial RNase P RNA component class A". It matches the Rfam family "Bacterial RNase P class A", at positions 200 to 367 of the family's 367-position model. From Rfam's summary of the family: Ribonuclease P (RNase P) is a ubiquitous endoribonuclease, found in archaea, bacteria and eukarya as well as chloroplasts and mitochondria. Its best characterised activity is the generation of mature 5'-ends of tRNAs by cleaving the 5'-leader elements of precursor-tRNAs. The record is from RNAcentral. Lineage: Bacteria; Bacillati; Bacillota; Clostridia; Lachnospirales; Lachnospiraceae.
AGCCAUGUAAACCCCAUCCGAAGCAAGACCAAACAGGGAACGAUAGACUUGCCCGGUCUGUUUCCAGGUAGGUCGCUCGAGGCUGACGGCAACGUCAGCCCUAGACAGAUGAUCAUUCGUGCCGCUGUGAGAGCAGCGGCAGUGACAGAACCCGGCUUAUCGCUGCGGUUGCCAA